This 335-nucleotide long non-coding RNA is filed under the name Rattus norvegicus (Norway rat). RNAcentral describes it as "long non-coding RNA NONRATT024338". The record is from RNAcentral. Lineage: Eukaryota; Metazoa; Chordata; Mammalia; Rodentia; Muridae.
UGGAGGUCCACGUGGUGGCGCUGCACCACGGAGCAGCGCGGUUCGGUGGGCUCCGGGCGCUGCACAGCCUUGGGAGCCGGGGACGCGGGCGAGCGGGCGGUGCUCUCCGCAGCCGCGGGGUAAUGGUACGGGUAUGGUGGGUACGGGAGAAGCCCUGGCAGCUCCCCCUCGGGCUGAGCCCGGACGCCCUCGGGAAGGGGCGUGCGGAGCACUGCGGCCUCCGGCGUCCCCUUGUACUUGAUCUUCAGGGUCUUGGCGUUCCUGCGGUCCAGCCUGACGCCGAACUGCUGCUCCACCGCCUCCAGGGCCGUGGCGUCCAGCAUUUCGCGGAAGCG